GAAAACGAAGGUGGCAUUAAUGGGCUACUGCAAGAAAAUGACUGAGAGCCACAUGCAGCACGUGAUCGGUCGGUUGAUUCUGAGGAAGGGGUUUAGGCACCCUGCGGUGCAAUGGCGGUGAGGUCUGGCGGCCUUCACAGGCCAGCUGCUUGGGGAUUUCAGCUGGUACCCCCUUUGUCUCCCCUCUUCUGCCCCAGUGAGAAGCGCAGGGCAGACCCAUGUGUGCAGGCAUCUCUGGAACAGAAAGUUAGCGCAUGCUGGAAGCCCGUUGCUCAAUAAAGUAGCAGCCUUGUGCAUUCUUCCAGGAUUUAAGAAAACAACUGGCAGAUGUGAAUGAUUUAUUUUUCCUCCCUCUUCUGCUGCGGUUUAUUUUUUCCUCUUGUUCGAGAGCGCUCAGCUGCUAACACAAACAAUUGCUGAAAUUCCACCUGCCCACCUGCGGCCCCUCCUUCCCGCUGCUCGCCCGGGCCCUCGUCUUCCUCCGAGGGGAACUACAGCCCGCUUUCUUCGAGAGAGGAGGAGGAGGAGGAGGAGGAAGGAGAGGGAGGGGCCGGGCCGCGUCUGGGCGCAUUGUUCAGCGCUCCUCUGCCAAGAAAUAGGUGACUAUGAACUCAUCCCUAGCCCCUCGCGGAAAGUUUGCUCCCUUCCCUCCCCUCCCCUCCCGCCUGCUGGCGCGGCAGGAGGCAGCUCGCAGCCUGGCGCUGGCCCUCCAGUCCCCGCUCCUGCUUAAUAUUCCGCCCGCUCCGCCGAUGUUGUGCUUGGCUCCGGUGGGACUGCAACUCACGGCUUGAAACCGGAGCCAAUUUUCUGUCUUAGUCUCGCAGUGUUUUGACUGGAGGCAGAUCCAGUUCAGUCCGAUCGGGGCUAGUGGAAACAACUACCUAAGUCUCUGCUGUCUGCUUCGUUUGGGAGGGAAGAAAGAAGAAAGAAACGCGAUCCCUAACUGCUGGGCGCGCUCUCUCGCACACACACACACACACACACACACACACACACACACGCACUCGCACACCCCGCGGCGCGCACACACACGGAGACACGCACCGCAGGCACACGCAGGCACACAGGCUCGCAGGGCCGUCGGUGCCGAGCGCGCCGUGCCAACACCGCCGGCAGAAAAUGGGAAGCGAGUGAGCGGAUCCGUGCCGGUGCUGGCGCCCGCGAUGACCCUGGUGCUGCCCAUGCAGCGGCUCGGCCGCCCCAUCGCCGCCGAGGGAGCCGCCGACCUCGCCGCCUACCGCGCCCUCUGGGAGCCGCCCUGCUGCGGCCGCCCCGGCCCC
RNAcentral lists this long non-coding RNA (1280 nucleotides) under Falco tinnunculus (common kestrel). RNAcentral describes it as "lncRNA (ENSFTIG00000004035.1)". Lineage: Eukaryota; Metazoa; Chordata; Aves; Falconiformes; Falconidae. The record is from RNAcentral.